This 320-nucleotide ribosomal RNA is filed under the name uncultured Prevotella sp. RNAcentral describes it as "bacterial SSU rRNA". It matches the Rfam family "Bacterial small subunit ribosomal RNA", at positions 28 to 339 of the family's 1533-position model. Lineage: Bacteria; Pseudomonadati; Bacteroidota; Bacteroidia; Bacteroidales; Prevotellaceae. The record is from RNAcentral.
GAUGAACGCUAGCUACAGGCUUAACACAUGCAAGUCGAGGGGCAGCAUAAUCGAAGCUUGCUUUGAUUGAUGGCGACCGGCGCACGGGUGAGUAACGCGUAUCCAACCUUCCCCAUAGUAGGGCAUAGCCCGUAGAAAUGCGGAUUAAUACCCUAUGUUUUCCUUUGCAGGCAUCUAACGAGGAAUAAAGGUUUACCGCUAUGGGAUGGGGAUGCGUCUGAUUAGGUUGCAGGCGGGGUAACGGCCCACCUGGCCAACGAUCAGUAGGGGUUCUGAGAGGGCGACCGGCCACAUUGGGACUGAGACACGGCCCAAACUCC